This 706-nucleotide ribosomal RNA is filed under the name Escherichia coli. Its description in RNAcentral is "partial 23S ribosomal RNA". It matches the Rfam family "Bacterial large subunit ribosomal RNA", at positions 1 to 740 of the family's 2925-position model. Lineage: Bacteria; Pseudomonadati; Pseudomonadota; Gammaproteobacteria; Enterobacterales; Enterobacteriaceae. The record is from RNAcentral.
GGGUUGUGAGGUUAAGCGACUAAGCGUACACGGUGGAUGCCCUGGCAGUCAGAGGCGAUGAAGGACGUGCUAAUCUGCGAUAAGCGUCGGUAAGGUGAUAUGAACCGUUAUAACCGGCGAUUUCCGAAUGGGGAAACCCAGUGUGUUUCGACACACUAUCAUUAACUGAAUCCAUAGGUUAAUGAGGCGAACCGGGGGAACUGAAACAUCUAAGUACCCCGAGGAAAAGAAAUCAACCGAGAUUCCCCCAGUAGCGGCGAGCGAACGGGGAGCAGCCCAGAGCCUGAAUCAGUGUGUGUGUUAGUGGAAGCGUCUGGAAAGGCGCGCGAUACAGGGUGACAGCCCCGUACACAAAAAUGCACAUGCUGUGAGCUCGAUGAGUAGGGCGGGACACGUGGUAUCCUGUCUGAAUAUGGGGGGACCAUCCUCCAAGGCUAAAUACUCCUGACUGACCGAUAGUGAACCAGUACCGUGAGGGAAAGGCGAAAAGAACCCCGGCGAGGGGAGUGAAAAAGAACCUGAAACCGUGUACGUACAAGCAGUGGGAGCACGCUUAGGCGUGUGACUGCGUACCUUUUGUAUAAUGGGUCAGCGACUUAUAUUCUGUAGCAAGGUUAACCAAAUAGGGGAGCCGAAGGGAAACCGAGUCUUAACUGGGCGUUAAGUUGCAGGGUAUAGACCCGAAACCCGGUGAUCUAGCCAUGGG